Molecule: long non-coding RNA, 478 nt
Organism: Cyprinus carpio (common carp)
Lineage: Eukaryota; Metazoa; Chordata; Actinopteri; Cypriniformes; Cyprinidae
Exons: 3
Source: RefSeq, a predicted model, not a curated record
GAAACGCGGGAAGGAAGCACGCGGUCGUGACGUAGAACUCACGCGACGUCGUAGCAGGAAACAAACGUCGGUUGAGCCAACAUGGCGCCCGCGCUCCUUCAGUCCGGAGUGGGUUAGCAUGAAACCUAUCCGAUUAAACCUCUUAUGACACGGUUUCGGCUCUUAUUACUCGGAAUAAUUAUUUUUAGCACCAAGAAGAGUCCAUCUAAACUAUCGGAGACGCGUUUGGAUGCUGUGAGGAGGAGAUGGCGGGCCGUAGAGUCGAGUGUUUGUGGAAACAUCACGUCGUGGAGCAGCUGAAGCAGAGAGACAGAGUUCAGCGUCAGGCCUUUGAGGAGAUCAUACACCAGUAUAACCGGCUGUUAGAGAAGUCUGAUCUUCGGGUUGUUUUUUCUGAACAUCUCCAGACCGAGAAAUAUGAGCAACAGAACAGACACGACCUCAGGUGCUCAUGGGAACACUUACAGACUUUAUACCA